This is a non-coding RNA of Salmo salar (Atlantic salmon), 54 nucleotides long. The record is from Rfam. NCBI's taxonomy places the organism in Eukaryota, Metazoa, Chordata, Actinopteri, Salmoniformes, Salmonidae.
AAUAUCAACUACUGUAAGUUGCUCUGGAUAAGAGUGUCUGCUAAAUGACUAAAA